Molecule: ribosomal RNA, 669 nt
Filed under: Triticum aestivum (bread wheat)
Lineage: Eukaryota; Viridiplantae; Streptophyta; Magnoliopsida; Poales; Poaceae
Description: partial small subunit ribosomal RNA
Source: RNAcentral
AUGAAAGAUUUAGGAGUGGCUGAUGUCAUUCUGAACAUCAAGUUGUUGAGAGACGAUGAUGGUGGGAUCACAUUGCUUCAAUCUCACAAUGUGGAAAAGAUCUUGAGUCGCUUUGGCUACAGUGACUGCAAGCCCUCUCCAACACCAUAUGAUGCUAGUGUGUUGCUUCGAAAGAAUCGAAGAAUUGCUAGAGACCAAUUGAAGUAUUCUCAGAUUAUUGGCUCGCUUAUGUACUUAGCCAGUGCUACAAGACCUUACAUCUCUUUUGCUGCUAGCAAACUGAGUCGGUUUGUCUCAGAACCAGGAGAUGUGCAUUGGAAAGCUCUAGAGAGAGUUUUGCAUUAUUUGAAAGGCACUGCAAAUUAUGGAAUUCACUACACCGGGCACCCAAAGGUGCUUGAAGGGUAUAGUGACUCAAACUGGAUCUCAGAUGCUGAUGAGAUAAAGGCCACUAUGAUCACGAAAGUGAGCAGCUCAAAGGAUAACAUGAAGUCAUCAAGACACGUUCAGAGAAGGUUAAAGUCUGUCAGGAAAAUGAGAAACUCCGGAGUUAUUGCAUUGGAUUAUAUCCAAACGUCUAAAAAUCUGGCAGAUCCUUUUACAAAGGGUCUAUCACGUAAUGUGAUAGAUAAUGCAUCGAGGGAGAUGGGUAUGAGAUCCACAAUAUGA